RNAcentral lists this ribosomal RNA (321 nucleotides) under uncultured Prevotella sp. Its description in RNAcentral is "bacterial SSU rRNA". It matches the Rfam family "Bacterial small subunit ribosomal RNA", at positions 206 to 524 of the family's 1533-position model. The record is from RNAcentral. Lineage: Bacteria; Pseudomonadati; Bacteroidota; Bacteroidia; Bacteroidales; Prevotellaceae.
GAUUUAUCGGUAUUGGAUGGGGGAUGCGUCUGAUUAGCUUGUUUGCGGGGUAAAGGCCCACCCAAGGCAACGAUCAGUAGGGGUUCUGAGAGGAAGGUCCCCCACAUUGGAACUGAGACACGGUCCAAACUCCUACGGGAGGCAGCAGUGAGGAAUAUUGGUCAAUGGGCGAGAGCCUGAACCAGCCAAGUAGCGUGCAGGAUGACGGCCCUAUGGGUUGUAAACUGCUUUUAUAUGGGAAUAAAGUGAGGGGACGUGUCCCUUAUUGCAUGUACCAUACGAAUAAGGACCGGCUAAUUCCGUGCCAGCAGCCGCGGUAAU